Molecule: non-coding RNA, 24 nt
Filed under: Arabidopsis thaliana (thale cress)
Lineage: Eukaryota; Viridiplantae; Streptophyta; Magnoliopsida; Brassicales; Brassicaceae
Source: RNAcentral
GAGGGAUGCAACACGAGGACUUCC